RNAcentral lists this ribosomal RNA (201 nucleotides) under Staphylococcus aureus. RNAcentral's name for it is "partial 23S ribosomal RNA". It matches the Rfam family "Bacterial large subunit ribosomal RNA", at positions 1086 to 1291 of the family's 2925-position model. Lineage: Bacteria; Bacillati; Bacillota; Bacilli; Caryophanales; Staphylococcaceae. The record is from RNAcentral.
CAGACAACUAGGAUGUUGGCUUAGAAGCAGCCAUCAUUUAAAGAGUGCGUAAUAGCUCACUAGUCGAGUGACACUGCGCCGAAAAUGUACCGGGGCUAAACAUAUUACCGAAGCUGUGGAUUGUCCUUUGGACAAUUGUAGGAGAGCGUUCUAAGGGCGUUGAAGCAUGAUCGUAAGGACAUGUGGAGCGCUUAGAAGUGA